This is a non-coding RNA of Argiope bruennichi, 72 nucleotides long. NCBI's taxonomy places the organism in Eukaryota, Metazoa, Arthropoda, Arachnida, Araneae, Araneidae. The record is from the annotation of a RefSeq genome assembly.
GGUUCCGUAGUGUAGUGGUUAUCACGUUCGCGUUACACGCAAAGGAUCCCGGUUCGAUCCCGGGCGGAACCA